CGAGGCCGCGCGGGAGAGCUUCCGCACCGCUGCGGCGGGCGGGACGCCGAAGGAGCAAGUCCUCCCUUGAAUCUCUCAGGCACAGAUACCGCGCGUUCGAG
Molecule: non-coding RNA, 101 nt
Filed under: Actinacidiphila glaucinigra
Lineage: Bacteria; Bacillati; Actinomycetota; Actinomycetes; Kitasatosporales; Streptomycetaceae
Description: Streptomyces glauciniger Glycine sequence
Rfam family: Glycine riboswitch aptamer
About the family: This family represents the bacterial glycine riboswitch.
Source: Rfam by way of RNAcentral